Molecule: ribosomal RNA, 188 nt
Filed under: uncultured Bacteroidota bacterium
Lineage: Bacteria; Pseudomonadati; Bacteroidota
Description: uncultured Bacteroidetes bacterium partial 16S ribosomal RNA
Rfam family: Bacterial small subunit ribosomal RNA
Source: RNAcentral
CCUACGGGAGGCAGCAGUAGGGAAUAUUGGGCAAUGGAGGCAACUCUGACCCAGCCAUGCCGCGUGCAGGAUGAAGGCCUUCUGGGUUGUAAACUGCUUUUAUCUAGGAAGAAAAUACCCUUGCGAGGGGAACUGACGGUACUAGGUGAAUAAGCACCGGCUAAAUGCGUGCCAGCAGCCGCGGUAAU